Non-coding RNA from Oncorhynchus mykiss (rainbow trout), 2245 nucleotides. The record is from RefSeq and is a predicted model, not a curated record. Lineage: Eukaryota; Metazoa; Chordata; Actinopteri; Salmoniformes; Salmonidae.
CUGAUAAACAAUGAAAACACCCCUUAACCAGGAUAAACCAAAUAGCCUACAGAGGGGCAUGCAACAUUUACCUAAAGCCGUGAACACAACCGCACACGCCUAGGAAACCAGUUCACAACUAAGGAGAUAUGAAUGAGUGUGAGGAGACCAACGGUGGCUGUGAGACUUUGCGCUGCAACACCAUUGGCAGCUUCUACUGCAAGUGUCCACUCGGCCAGGUGCUCAGGGAGGACGGCAAGACCUGCCAAGGAAUCCCAACAGCCGCCUAUUGAAAUGAAAAGAAGAGGCAGAUGUUUGGAAAGUCAUUAAGAAUGAAGAAUGUCCUGUCCGGUUUACAUUAAGUCUUGGCUUUUCCCGGGUUGAAAGAACUGCUAUGUUUUCUUUCCUUGGCCUCAUUAUUCAUAAGAAGCCUCCAGGAGCUGUGUCCAUGCCGUGCUGUAUUACAGUAAGCAGGAGUGUAGGUGUGUAGAUGUGUAACGUAUGCACGAGCAUGUUGGGAAAAAUCUAUGCUGAGCCGCAGAAAUGUAGUGGUGCUACAAUGAUUCUGUGUGUGUAUGUGUGUGUUUGCGUGCAUGUUUGUGUGUGUUUGCAUGUCCAUGUGUGUGUUUGUGCUUGGUGCUCAUGUGUGUCCUAUUUAAGUCCAGACCUUUUGGCCUGAGGACAGUACCUAUAAAAGACAGGAACAAUUCAUCCCAAGAGUCUCACUGCCAUGGAAAAGACAGAGGAUCCCUGAGGCAAAGCCAACAUAAAAUGCUCUCACUUCAAAGCAGGCCUUUAGCCUAGUCAAUGGAGGUGCGUUCAGGAAAGUAUGAACCACUGUAAUGUGAACAGCCCAAUCUCUUUCUAAUCAUGUCCGACUGGCUGCUGAACAAUGUCUAAGGUGUCGCAGAGUGUCUGGUUUGUAUCAUAGACUUAUGGCACAGGUACACGAGCCAAGUAUUUUUUGUGGUACUGUACGGUAUCCAUAUUAGGACAGCCUCAGGAUGUGAGACAUGACUGAUACACCCCCACUGUGGUGGAUGCUGCCUGCAUGCUACAUACGCAGCAUCAUCAACACAGCAACGUUUGAGGCUUGUGUGCCUGGAUCGUCUUUUUACAGAGGUUAUAAUAGCCUUAUAAAAAUAUAUAUUUUGUACACAAUAAAGAAAAUGUAUUACGGGUAAACAUCUAAAUAUUUCUCCCAGUGUUUAUGAAAGCUCAGAAUGCUUAUAUUCUUGAUCUGACAGUUUUAAUCGUAUGUGACUAUUUGUGAAUGAGUGGAAUCAUCAACGGUGGUUUAUUCGUAAUGAUUUCCUCUGUCCCCCGGAUUUGCCUCACAUAUGUUAUUUUUUAGCAGCACAUUCACCACUCACUCAAACAGCAAAGUCCACCCUCUUGCAGUUCAUGCCGAGGGCCUGAUACGUGAAAUGAACUACCCCAGAAUUACCCCAGGUUGAGACUAGAGUGCAGUGUGUUCGCAAGAUGCCGGACAAAAGGCAAUUUUAGAACCGUCCCACAACUCCUGCUUUGUCUACAGACAUCCCCCAAACAAACAAUGCAGGAGGAAUGUAGGAGGAAGCAUAUAGGAGGAUGCAGAGGAGACAGAUAGAGAAGCAUCAUUAUUAAUGCCUCGGAAUACAAAUUUGAAUGGUAUGGAAUUUGAAGAAAAGAGAUAUCUAUGUAAAGAGAUUAUGAUUUUAUGCAAUUCAUCGUUACAACUGACUGAACAAAAAUCAAAUUGUAUUGGUUGCAUACACAUAUUUUGCAGAUGUUAUUGCGGGUGUAGCAAAAUGCUUGUGUUUCUAGCUCCAACAGUGCAGUAAUAUCUUAUAAUACACAACAAUAUACAGUCGCUACACAGUAGCGACUAUACAGUGUCUUUUUUGAUUGUUUUUUUCUGUUCUCCACAUGACAUUUUAAAGUGUUUUAAAUGUAUAGAAAUGCAGUAAAUGAGCUUCAACUUUAAAAUUGUUUUACUUCAGGCUCUGUCAUUCUAUAGAUGAGCUCACGUAUGGCUUGCUUGGCACAUCACUUGACCACACUAUUACCGUGCUAUUUCCCUCACUCAGCUGAAGUUGGCUAUUCCCUCGCUGCUCCCAUCCAUGCACAGCAGUAGAUGAUUUAAAUACAUCAAGAACAGCCCUUGCAAAUCCCACAAUGCCUUUAAUGUCCAAAAUGACAUUAACGUGUUGAUUUAUGUUGGGCUUAUAUCAAUAUACUUUGGAUAAAGUUGAUCGAGUCCAUCAUGUGAAUAAAUAUGAGUUUU